CCAACAAUCCAAUCGAAUCGGAGGGAGCAAUCGGAGUCCAAAGCCAACUGACAAGAUCUGUUCCGGAUCUUCCCCGUGUUUUAAGGCGUUCCGUUUGCUCUCGAUUGUGAUGCAUACAAAUGCCUAUCUGAGCUGCCGACUCCCCAAUUAGUCUUUCUUUUUGUACGUUUGUAAGCUGGCGCCAGUUUUGAGAGCGGCCCCGCGGGGACACCAAAGUAAGUGUUGUGCUCUAUACGUAUAUUUUUUAUAUCAUCAUUGCUGAAC
Molecule: non-coding RNA, 264 nt
Organism: Drosophila takahashii
Lineage: Eukaryota; Metazoa; Arthropoda; Insecta; Diptera; Drosophilidae
Source: RefSeq, a predicted model, not a curated record